Molecule: ribosomal RNA, 404 nt
Filed under: uncultured bacterium
Lineage: Bacteria
Description: bacterial SSU rRNA
Rfam family: Bacterial small subunit ribosomal RNA
Source: RNAcentral
UGGGGAAUAUUGGACAAUGGGCGCAAGCCUGAUCCAGCAAUGCCGCGUGAAUGAAGAAGGCCUUAGGGUUGUAAAGUUCUUUUAGUUGGGAAGAUAAUGACGGUACCAACAGAAAAAGCUCCGGCUAACUUCGUGCCAGCAGCCGCGGUAAUACGAAGGGAGCUAGCGUUAUUCGGAAUCACUGGGCGUAAAGAGCACGUAGGCGGUCUAGUAAGUUGGAAGUGAAAGCCCAGGGCUUAACCCUGGAACUGCUUUCAAAACUGCUAAACUAGAGAUCAAUAGGGGAUAGCGGAAUUCCUAGUGUAGAGGUGAAAUUCUUAGAUAUUAGGAGGAACACCGGUGGCGAAGGCGGCUAUCUAGGUUGAAUCUGACGCUGAGGUGCGAAAGUGUGGGGAGCAAACAGG